GAGUUUGAUCAUGGCUCAGAUUGAACGCUGGCGGCAUGCCUUACACAUGCAAGUCGAACGGCAGCACGGGAGCUUGCUCCUGGGUGGCGAGUGGCGAACGGGUGAGUAAUGCAUCGGAACGUAUCCUGGAGUGGAGGAUAACGUAGCGAAAGUUACGCUAAUACCGCAUAUUCUGUGAGCAGGAAAGCGGGGGACCUUCGGGCCUCGCGCUCUUGGAGCGGCCGAUGUCGGAUUAGCUAGUUGGUGAGGUAAAGGCUCACCAAGGCGACGAUCCGUAGCAGGUCUGAGAGGAUGAUCUGCCACACUGGAACUGAGACACGGUCCAGACUCCUACGGGAGGCAGCAGUGGGGAAUUUUGGACAAUGGGGGCAACCCUGAUCCAGCCAUGCCGUGUGAGUGAAGAAGGCC
This 408-nucleotide ribosomal RNA is filed under the name bacterium enrichment culture clone ALO1_GLFRUDD03F20RA. Its description in RNAcentral is "bacterial SSU rRNA". It matches the Rfam family "Bacterial small subunit ribosomal RNA", at positions 9 to 416 of the family's 1533-position model. The record is from RNAcentral.